GUGAGGAAUAUUGGUCAAUGGACGGAAGUCUGAACCAGCCAUGCCGCGUGCAGGAAUAAGGUCCUAUGGAUUGUAAACUGCUUUUAUUCGGGAAUAAACCUCUUUACGUGUAGGGAGCUGAAGGUACCGAAGGAAUAAGCACCGGCUAACUCCGUGCCAGCAGCCGCGGUAAUACGGAGGGUGCAAGCGUUAUCCGGAAUCAUUGGGUUUAAAGGGUCCGCAGGCGGUCAUAUAAGUCAGUGGUGAAAGCCUACAGCUCAACUGUAGAACUGCCAUUGAUACUGUAUGACUUGAAUUCGAUCGAAGUGGGCGGAAUGUGACAUGUAGCGGUGAAAUGCUUAGAUAUGUCACAGAACACCGAUAGCGAAGGCAGCUCACUAGGUCUGGAUUGACGCUCAGGGACGAAAGCGUGGGGAGCAAACAGGAUUAGAAACCCCGGUAGUCC
Molecule: ribosomal RNA, 445 nt
Filed under: uncultured bacterium
Lineage: Bacteria
Description: partial 16S ribosomal RNA
Rfam family: Bacterial small subunit ribosomal RNA
Source: RNAcentral